GACGAACGCUGGCGGUGUGCUUAACACAUGCAAGUCGAACGGUAAGGCCCUUUCGGGGGUACACGAGUGGCGAACGGGUGCGUAACACGUGAGUAACCUUCCCUCAUCUCUGGGAUAACAGUCGGAAACGGUUGCUAAUACUGGAUAUGAGCUUGCAAGGCAUCUUGUGGGUUGGAAAGAUUUUUUUUGGUUGGGGAUGGACUCGCGGCCUAUCAGCUUGUUGGUGAGGUAGUGGCUCACCAAGGCUUCGACGGGUAGCCGGCCUGUGAGGGCGACCGGCCACAUUGGGACUGAGAUACGGGCCAAAGUCGUACGGGAGGCAGCAGUGGGGAAUAUUGCACGAUGGACGGAAGUCUGAUGCAGCAACGCCGCGGGCGGGAUGACGGCCUUCGGGUGGUAAACCGCUUUCAAUUGUGAAGAAGCUUUUUUGUGACGGUAGCAGUAGAAGAAGCACCGGCUAACUACGUG
This 468-nucleotide ribosomal RNA is filed under the name uncultured bacterium. RNAcentral's name for it is "partial 16S ribosomal RNA". It matches the Rfam family "Bacterial small subunit ribosomal RNA", at positions 28 to 507 of the family's 1533-position model. The record is from RNAcentral.